This is a long non-coding RNA of Photinus pyralis (common eastern firefly), 551 nucleotides long. RefSeq lists it as uncharacterized. The record is from RefSeq and is a predicted model, not a curated record. The transcript is spliced from 3 exons. NCBI's taxonomy places the organism in Eukaryota, Metazoa, Arthropoda, Insecta, Coleoptera, Lampyridae.
GUAAGAUUGGCCCAAAGGUCAACUGAUCUGUUUCGCAGCGUCAACCAACUUACUUCAUUAUAAUCGGCAUGACUAUGAAUUCAUAGCCACACUGCUAUUAUGAAUGAAUUUGAUUUUCUCUGCGAGUUAAAUCUUCCGCUUUCAAGUGAGUGACUUCGAAAGGUGUUACAAUUUACUUAGUAUUACACGUAGAUUGCUUUUUUUUAAAUUUUAAAGGUAGGUGAGCGUUUCAAUCACUAUAUUGCUUGGUUCCUUACUAACUCCAUUAUUUCUCAGAGCCAGGUAGUAGACUACUAAAUCUACUGUUGUGAGGGGGUCCAACCUGCCGUGAUGGAUCGUAUCGGAUGCAGCCAUAACCACUAAUCAUGUUUGUUCAAUUGGAAAAAGUGAUGGUACCAAAAAUAAGGACGUCGUGGGACCUCAAAUAGUUAGCAGUCCUAAUCUAGGAAGCCCGAAUUAAUAAUGCAAAAGUAAUGGUAACGAAGUCUGAUGCGGUGUCUUUAAUGAGUAACAGUCCUCCAUAGGAGAGAUAGAAUUAAUAAGGCUAAAGG